UUAAGUUCAGCGGGUAUCCCUACCUGACCCGAGGUCAACCUGAAAAAAAUUGGGGGUUGCUGGCGAGCACACACCCGGGCCUCCAGAGCGAGAAGAAUUACUACGCUCGGAGCCGGAUGGCACCGCCACUGACUUUAGGGCCCGCCAGGGCAGCGGGGCCCAACACCAAGCAGAGCUUGAGGGUUGUAAUGACGCUCGGA
Molecule: unclassified non-coding RNA, 200 nt
Filed under: Pseudogymnoascus sp.
Lineage: Eukaryota; Fungi; Ascomycota; Leotiomycetes; Thelebolales; Thelebolaceae
Description: partial internal transcribed spacer 2
Source: RNAcentral